RNAcentral lists this ribosomal RNA (406 nucleotides) under uncultured bacterium. Its description in RNAcentral is "partial 16S ribosomal RNA". It matches the Rfam family "Bacterial small subunit ribosomal RNA", at positions 30 to 526 of the family's 1533-position model. The record is from RNAcentral.
AUUGAACGCUGGCGGCAGGCCUAACACAUGCAAGUCGAACGAGUGGCGGACGGGUGAGUAAUGUCUGGGAAACUGCCUAAUGGCGGGGGAUAACUACUGGAAACGGUAGCUAAUACCGCAUACCAUCGGAUGUGCCCAUAUGGGAUUAGCUUGUUGGGGGGGUAACGGCUCACCAAGGCAACGAUCCCUAGCUGGUUUGAGAGGACGACCAGCCACACUUGAACUGAGACACGGUCCAGACUCCUACGGGAGGCAGCAGUGGGGAAUUUUGCACAAUGGGCGCAAGCCUGAUCCAGCCAUGCCGCGUGUAUGAAGAAGGCCUUCGGGUUGUAAAGUACUUUUGGCAGGGAGGCGUUAUCCGCAGAAUAAGCACCGGCUAACUCCGUGCCAGCAGCCGCGGUAAUUC